RNAcentral lists this ribosomal RNA (316 nucleotides) under uncultured bacterium. RNAcentral's name for it is "bacterial SSU rRNA". It matches the Rfam family "Bacterial small subunit ribosomal RNA", at positions 28 to 334 of the family's 1533-position model. The record is from RNAcentral.
GACGAACGCUGGCGGCGUGCCUAAUACAUGCAAGUAGAACGCUGAAGUCUGGUGCUUGCACUAGACGGAUGAGUUGCGAGCGGGUGAGUAACGCGUAGGUAACCUGCCUCAUAGCGGGGGAUAACUAUUGGAAACGAUAGCUAAUACCGCAUAACAGUAUUUACCGCAUGGUAGAUGCUUGAAAGGAGCAAUUGCUUCACUAUGAGAUGGACCUGCGUUGUAUUAGCUAGUUGGUGAGGUAACGGCUCACCAAGGCAUCGAUACAUAGCCGAGUUGAGAGACUGAUCGGCCACAAUGGAACUGAGACACGGUCCAU